CCUACGGGGGGCAGCAGUGAGGAAUAUUGGUCAAUGGACGAGAGUCUGAACCAGCCAAGUAGCGUGAAGGAUGACUGCCCUAUGGGUUGUAAACUUCUUUUAUAUGGGAAUAAAAUGUUCCACGUGUGGGAUUUUGUAUGUACCAUAUGAAUAAGGAUCGGCUAACUCCGUGCCAGCAGCCGCGGUAAUACGGAGGAUCCGAGCGUUAUCCGGAUUUAUUGGGUUUAAAGGGAGCGUAGGUGGAUUGUUAAGUCAGUUGUGAAAGUUUGCGGCUCAACCGUAAAAUUGCAGUUGACACUGGCAGUCUUGAGUACAGUAGAGGUGGGCGGAAUUCGUGGUGUAGCGGUGAAAUGCUUAGAUAUCACGAAGAACUCCGAUUGCGAAGGCAGUUCACUGGACUGCAACUGACACUGAGGCUCGAAAGUGUGGGUAUCAAACAGGAUUAGAUACCCUUGUAGUC
Molecule: ribosomal RNA, 460 nt
Filed under: uncultured bacterium
Lineage: Bacteria
Description: partial 16S ribosomal RNA
Rfam family: Bacterial small subunit ribosomal RNA
Source: RNAcentral